This is a non-coding RNA of Salvelinus sp. IW2-2015, 265 nucleotides long. NCBI's taxonomy places the organism in Eukaryota, Metazoa, Chordata, Actinopteri, Salmoniformes, Salmonidae. The record is from RefSeq and is a predicted model, not a curated record.
UAUGGGAUACUUGUGGGGGAGGAUCUCUACAGACAUAUAUCAUGUGACGGGUCCCCUAUCCGAGCUGCAGAUAGCCUACGUCUGCAGAGAGACCAUACAGGGUUUGGGAUAUCUACACUCCAGGGAAAAAAUGCACCGUGACAUCAAGGGUGCUAAUAUCCUCCUAACAGACAACGGGCAUGUGAAACUAGCUGAUUUUGGAGUAGCAGCCAAAAUAACAGCCACCAUUGCCAAGAGGAAGUCCUUCAUCGGGACUCCUUACUGG